Phlebotomus papatasi is the source of this 446-nucleotide long non-coding RNA. RefSeq lists it as uncharacterized. The record is from RefSeq and is a predicted model, not a curated record. Lineage: Eukaryota; Metazoa; Arthropoda; Insecta; Diptera; Psychodidae. The transcript has 2 exons.
UUGCCUACGUGAACAUUAAUUUGAAACUCUUAGUAACAAAAGUAUUUAGGUUCUUGUAUAUUGCAAUGUUGUCAUGUCGUUUAUUGAUAACACUUUCAUGAAUUUUAAAUCACGCAUAACAAAAGCACGAUAUUUUGCAUAUAAAUAUGGUCGCAAUUUUCUCAAGAACCCAUUCAACCACAGACUAACAAACAUAAUGAAAUUCCUGGUAUUCGCCUUUUUAUUUGCAUUCGCUGUUGCUAGCGCUAUGGCUACUCCUACGGCAGUUGCUGAUGCUUUGCCAGCUGCUGAUCCAGAACCUGCAGCUGAUCCUGGAUAUCCUUCAUACUAUUCUUACUGCUAUUACUAUCCCUGCUAUCCUUCCUACUAUUACUACUACCCUUACUAUUAGACCGAAGUUUGUUUCUACUUGAAAAAUACUGAAAAUAAAUUUUGAUUCUUGCAAA